Camellia sinensis is the source of this 413-nucleotide non-coding RNA. The record is from RefSeq and is a predicted model, not a curated record. NCBI's taxonomy places the organism in Eukaryota, Viridiplantae, Streptophyta, Magnoliopsida, Ericales, Theaceae.
AGUAGUAGAACCACUAGUACCAGGACAUUCCGUCGUAACAUCCACAAGUUGGAAAAAAAAGGUGACCGAAUUGCUUUUAGUCGGUAGAGAGAGAAAGUUUAGAGAGAGAGAGAGAGAGAGAGAGCUAGAUCUCCAACAAGCCACACCCAAAAACUUUUACGAUCGAUUUGGUUUAUCUGAUCCAUUUCUUCUUCUUCUUCCUCUCCUCGCAACUCACACAGUAACUAGUGAUCUCUUUAUUGUCCAAUGAAGCAUUGGUACAGCCUAAAAGAUCAGAAGAAAUCACAUUUGAUUUUCAGAUAGAUACAUCUAAACCAGUAUACUUAUGAGGAGGCACAAGCAAUUUUCUACGGGAAUUCAACAGCUUUUUUCUUGGAAAUUGUAAUGUGGAGGUUGGCAUCAUGAACUUCAAU